UUGCAGCCAAUUAAACCAACUGUGCUCUUUUCUCUGUGGGUACCCAGCCUGCAAUGGCUGCAAAUAGCAGCCUCCUGACAGUGUAUGCAGCUUGUGUCUCUAUGGGUUGCCCCAAGGGACUCGGAGACAGCU
This 132-nucleotide small nucleolar RNA is filed under the name Catagonus wagneri (Chacoan peccary). Its description in RNAcentral is "Small nucleolar RNA SNORA70 (ENSCWAG00000013209.1)". It matches the Rfam family "Small nucleolar RNA SNORA70". Rfam says of the family: snoRNA U70 seems to be exclusive to mammals and is a member of the H/ACA class of snoRNA which contain H (ANANNA) and ACA box motifs. H/ACA box snoRNAs are involved in the conversion of uridines to pseudouridines (5-ribosyluracil) a constituent of structural RNAs (transfer, ribosomal, small nuclear, and small nucleolar). The record is from Rfam by way of RNAcentral. Lineage: Eukaryota; Metazoa; Chordata; Mammalia; Artiodactyla; Tayassuidae.